GAUGAACGCUGGCGGCGCGCCUAACACAUGCAAGUCGAACGGUUAAGGCCCCCCUCGGGGGGCGCAUAGAGUGGCGAACGGGUGAGUAACACGUGACCAACCCGCCCCCCCCACCGGGACAACCUCGGGAAACCGAGGCUAAUACCGGAUACGCCGGGGCCCCCGCAUGGGGGCCCCGGGAAAGCCUUGGCGGGAGGGGACGGGGUCGCGGCCCAUCAGGUAGACGGCGGGGCGAAGGCCCGCCGUGCCGACGACGGGUAGCCGGGCUGAGAGGCCGAUCGGCCACAUUGGGACUGAGACACGGCCCAGACUCCUACGGGAGGCAGCAGUGGGGAAUAUUGCGCAAUGGGGGAAACCCUGACGCAGCGACGCCGCGUGCGGGAAGGAGGCCUUCGGGUCGUAAACCGCUUUCAGCAGGGAAGAAGCCUGACGGUACCUGCAGAAGAAGCCCCGGCUAACUACGUGCCAGCAGCCGCGGUAAUACGUAGGGGGCGAGCGUUAUCCGGAUUCAUUGGGCGUAAAGCGCGCGCAGGCGGCCCGCCAAGCGGCCUCGUCGAAGCCGGGGGCUCAACCCCCGGAAGCGACCCGAACUGGCGGGCUCGAGUGGGGCAGGGGAGGAUGGAAUUCCCGGUGUAGCGGUGAAAUGCGCAGAUAUCGGGAGGGACACCGACGGCGAAGGCAGCCCUCUGGGCCUUCACUGACGCUGAGGCGCGAAAGCUGGGGGAGCGAACAGG
This 734-nucleotide ribosomal RNA is filed under the name uncultured Slackia sp. RNAcentral's name for it is "partial 16S ribosomal RNA". It matches the Rfam family "Bacterial small subunit ribosomal RNA", at positions 28 to 776 of the family's 1533-position model. The record is from RNAcentral. Lineage: Bacteria; Bacillati; Actinomycetota; Coriobacteriia; Eggerthellales; Eggerthellaceae.